CACAAGUACGUCAUCACUCUGCGACACGCUACAUUCCCCGGCCUGUCGACUACACGCCACUUCAAUUAUAGGCUCCCAGGUGUUCCUUUCAUGCAACAUCUGCUUCUUGGAGUCACGAUGACACAGGUGAAGGUGGUCAUUAGGUCUCGAGGCUGCGGGGGCCCUUGGACGCCUCUUUUCCCAUCAUGCACCGCUGUCGUCAAGUGCUGCUUGUUCACACACGUCCUGCCUCUCAGAUGGCGACAUGUCUGCUUGAAGGAGACAAAGAGGACGUGUGCGUACCUGCCUGGCUUCCGUCAACCCAGACCCCCUCCUCGCCAUCAAAGACCCCCCCCCCCUGGGGGCCUGCAGCGCUCCACUGUCUUUAAGCUGUUCCCAUCCGCAGCGGAAGUCCCCGCGACAUUCCGGGAAUUCUGGAAGUCGUCUUCAGCCGCUCACUUAUCUUAUCUCAGAGGGGUGGAGGAGGUGUAACAUGAGUUCAUCAGAAGCUUCAGUGUGGUCGCCAUGGUGACACAAAGGUUGUCUUUAAUUCCGGUGUAGGUCCCACGACAUCCGAUUGGUCUUGAAUGAAUGAAUGAAUGAAAUAAGUGUAUUUCGGUCAUAUAAUCAAUCAAAUCAAAUCAAUCAACCAUUGUAUGUGAUCAGUUUUACAGUACAUGUUAUAUGUGUACAAUAAUGCACAUUUACACACGAAAGAAAAGAAAAAGAAUGACCAAAAAAGGAAUAGGCUGAAGCCAAAGCUUAUAUUUGCCUAUCCUAUACCUUCACAGAAAAUUAGAUUGCCUGGAACAUCAACAUAAAAAAAUAAAUAAAUCAAAAAUCAAUGGGAUGAAAGUAAUUGUGACUAUAUUUUAUAAUUUUCAAUUAUUUCACCUUUCAAUGUUUUCUUAAACCUUACCAAAGAAUUGCAUGUCUUCAGCUCAUCACUGAGCUUGUUCCACCAUUUAACUCCUAAAACUGUAAUACAUUUGUAUUUUAUAUUUGUUCUCGCUUUACCCAUUUCAAAAAUCGAUAUCCCCCGUAAAUUAUAGUUUUCUCCUCUGAAAUGAAAUAGCCUGCGAAUACAAGCUGGAAGGCUGUUGUUCUUUACUCGAAACAUAAUUUCCAUUGUUUUUAAAAACACAAUGUCGGAAAAUUUUAACACAUUUGAACUCAUAAAUAAGGGAUUGGUACGUUCAUAGUAGCAGGCUUUGUGUAUUAUUCUAAUGACCCUUUUUGGAAGUUUUAUGAUUGGGUCUAUGUUUGUUUUAUAAACAUUUCCCCAAAUUUCAACACAAUACGUUAAAUAUGGAAAAAUAAAAGAAUAAUACAACAUAUGUCUUCAUGACAGGUAUGGAGUGAGGGUGGUACUAUCCUCUCAUGCCAGGAUGGGAAUGUACAGGACGGAAUUUAUUAUGGUGGAAUUUUUGUAGGAUUUUGUUUCCUAUCCGAGUACAUCCGAGUUCUAGACGAGAGUCACCAUUUAAAGGCCUACUGAAAUGAGAUGUUCUUAUUUAAACGGGGAUAGCAGGUCCAUUCUAUGUGUCAUACUUGAUCAUUUCGCCAUAUUGCCAUAUUUUUGCUGAAAGGAUUUAGUAGAGAACAUUCAGGAUAAAGUUUGCAACUUUAGGUCGCUAAUAAAAAAGCCUUGCCUGUACAGGAAGUAGCAGACGAUAUGCGCGUGACGUCACGGGUUGUGGAGCUCCUCACAUCUGAACAUUGUUUACAAUCAUGGCCACCAGCAGCGAGAGCGAUUCGGACCGAGAAAGCGACAAUUUCCCCCUUAAUUUGAGCGAGGAUGAAAGAUUUGUGGAUGAGGAAAGUGAGAGUGAAGGACUAGAAGAAGAAGAAAAGACAGAGCAGUGGGAGCGAUUCAGAUGUUAUUAAACACAUUUACUAGGAUAAUUCUGGAAAAUCCCUUAUCUGCUUAUUGUGUUACUAGUGUUUUAGUGAGAUUAUAUAGUCGUACCUGAAAGUCGGAGGGGUGUGGCCAAAGGUGAGGUGACCGCCAGUGUCUCCGAGUGGGGCAACCCUACAGUUAAGACGUUAAAGGCCUACUGAAAUGAGAUGUUCUUAUUUAAACGGGGAUAGCAGCUCCAUUCUAUGUGUCAUACUUGAUCAUUUCGCCAUAUUGCCAUAUUUUUGCUGAAAGGAUUUAGUAGAGAACAUCCACGAUAAUGUUUGCAACUUUAGGUCGCUAAUAAAAAAGCCUUGCCUGUACCGGAAGUAGCAGACGAUGUGCGCGUGACGUCACGGGUUGUGGAGCUCCUCACAUCUGAACAUUGUUUACAAUCAUGGCCACCAGCAGCGAGAGCGAUUCGGACCGAGAAAGCGACAAUUUCCCCAUUAAUUGGAGCGAGGAUGAAAGAUUCGUGGAUGAGGAUAGUGAGAGCAAAGGACUAGAACAUGGUGUCAAAUUUGGCCCGCCAUGUAAUUUCAUUUGGCCCUUGAGGCAAUAUCAAAUUAACACGAGAACUGGCCCGCCGGAAUUAUACAGUGGCUGUGCCGCUGUAACACCGCAUUCACCGCUAAUAUUCAUACUUGCCAACCCUCCCGAUUUUCCCGGGAGACUCCCGAAGUUCAGUGCCCCUCCUGAAAAUCUCCCUGGGCAACCAUUCUCCCGAUUUCCAACCAGACAACAAUAUUGGGGGCCGUGCCUUAAAGGCACUGCCUUUAACGUUCUCUAGAACCUGUCGUCACGUCCGCUUAUCCGCCAAACAAACAGCGUGCCGACCAAGCCUCAUAUUAUAAGCGGCUUCUACACACUCACAAGUGAAUGCCACGCAUACUUGGUCAACAGCCAUACAGGUCACACUUGAGGGUGGCCGUAUAAACAACUUUAACAUUGUUACAAAUAUGCACCACGCUGUGAACCCACACCAAACAAGAAUGACAAACACGUUUUGGGAGAACAUCCGCAUCGUAACACAACAGAACAAAUACCCAGAGCCCCUUGCAGCACUAACUCUUCCGGGACGCUACAAUAAACGCCAACACCUAAAAGGUUAAUUUGUUCAACCUUCAGUUUUAAAUUUUGGCCCACUCUGUGUUUGAGUUUGACACCCCUGGACUAGAAGAAAAAGAAAAAAAAAGACAAGGGCAGACGGAGCGAUUCAGAUGUUAUUAGACACAUUCACUAGGAUAAUUCUGGAAAGUGCCUUAUCUGCUUAUUGUGUUACUAGUGUUUUAGUGAGAUUAAAUAGUCAUACCUGAAAGUUGGAGGGGUGUGGUGACCGCCAGUGUCUCUGAGUGAAGCCACGGAGGAGCCAAGAAAGUCGCAGCUGCCUCUUUGACAACUGCUACGCUCAUGUUUACAGUAAGAGCCAACUUAUUACCACAAUUUUCUCACCGAAACCUGCCGGCGGACAUGUGGUAGAGAAACAUGUUCGCUUGACCGCUCUGUUCCAUAUUAAAGCUUCACAACAAACAAAUAAACACCGGCGGUAUUUGUGUUGCUAAAGGCGGCCGCAAUACACCGCUUUCCACCUACAUCUUUCUUCUUUGACGUCUCCAUUAUUAAUUGAGCAAAUUGCAAAAGAUUCAGCAACACAGAUGUCCAGAAUACUGUGUAAUUAUGCGAUUGAAUCGGAUGACUUUUAGCCGUGAGUGGUCAUCAUUCCGCCAUGUUUUCAACAGGAUACCUCGCUGGAAAUUUAAAAUUGCUAUUUAGUAAACUAAAUAGCAAUUUUGUGUUGCAAUGUUAAUAUUUCAUCAUUGAUAUAUAAACUAUCAGACUGCGUGGUCGCUAGUAGUGGCUUUCAGUAGGCCUUUAAGAUGCAUUUAUGGCUUUCUACAGAUUUUACCUGCACGCC
This is a long non-coding RNA of Nerophis ophidion (straightnose pipefish), 3791 nucleotides long. RefSeq lists it as uncharacterized. The transcript is spliced from 3 exons. The record is from RefSeq and is a predicted model, not a curated record. Lineage: Eukaryota; Metazoa; Chordata; Actinopteri; Syngnathiformes; Syngnathidae.